CGCUCCACUGAACGCAACUCUGCUGACCGUGAAACUGAAAUAACCUUAGCCAGUCAUUUUUACCGUGAUACCCCCGUCGGCGUUAAACCAAACUGAACUGCCGUUUUCCAUUCGCCAAGACGGCCGUCUCGUUGUGUUUAAGGAACUGGGUUUUGAAGCGCAGAACAAGUAUUCGUACAGGCGACGUUCAAAGACAAUCCGCUGUUGGUCAGCCAUGUGGAGUUUCAGGCCCGUAUUAACGAUGAGAAUGACAAUGCGCUCGUGUUUUUCGCCGAUAAGGUCACCGUCCAGACGCCGGAGAACUACACCGCUCCGGUCCGAUUAAUUCCAGUUUCGGCGUAUGAUAUGGAUUAUGGGCAGAAUGCGAUGAUACGCUACGACCUUGUCAACGCGUCACAAUUGCCAGUUGCGUUAGAUCCAAAAUCCGGAUGGUUGACGCUGGAAACGACGAUAGAUCGAGAGAUGGACAGCAAAAUUGUUGUGAAAGUUAUGGAAGUGGACAGCGGCGUACCGGCUCUCAUUUCGACAAUGAUUGUGGAAACUGAUGUUCUGGAUAUUAACGACGAGGACGCUAGCUCCUGUACUCCUGUAGGAGCAUUGAAAUCGUCAUGACCGAUGUCGACGACCUGCACAACUACCUUUUGAACGUGGUCCGAAAUCCUUGAAGUGCUGAAUUAUGAACGGAAUGCAAAAGAUGACCGAGUCUUUUCGGCUGCAUAUGAUUUAUCGCACCCUGCCACAAUUCUUAUUCUUGCGGUCUGUCCUGGAUUCAGUUCAUCCAGAUAGUUCAAGGAAUCAAGCGUGAAACCCCGAGAACCCAGUUCCUCCCAUAUUGCUGCAGCUUGAACAUACAAACCGGACGAACACGUUCGAGCUGUUUCACACAAAGAACUCAAAGCAGUUUUGCAAAAUAUAAUCCUCUCUUCCAUUGUCAUGCAAAAGUUCAAAUCACAUUAUUUUAUAAAUUAUUUGUUUCAGCCAAGAAAAUAAACAGCAAUAGCAACUGCUACGCAAAUAUUGCGUCACUACCCAGAAUGAUAGCAGCAGCAGUAAGUAUCUGCAGUGCUGUUUGGAUCCAGAAAGGGGCGUAGCGUAGGCGUUCCCAUUGCUUUCAACAGCACCAAUGAAACUUUCCUUGCUGCUAAUCUGACGGCGCUGCUAAUGA
This is a long non-coding RNA of Paramacrobiotus metropolitanus, 1165 nucleotides long. RefSeq lists it as uncharacterized. NCBI's taxonomy places the organism in Eukaryota, Metazoa, Tardigrada, Eutardigrada, Parachela, Macrobiotidae. The transcript has 3 exons. The record is from RefSeq and is a predicted model, not a curated record.